UGGGGAAUCUUGCGCAAUGGGCGAAAGCCUGACGCAGCGACGCCGCGUGAGGGAAGAAGGCCUUCGGGUUGUAAACCUCUUUCAGGAGGGACGAAGCCACUCGGGUUAAUACCCCAGAGGGUGACGGUACCUCCAGAAGAAGCCCCGGCUAACUACGUGCCAGCAGCCGCGGUAAUACGUAGGGGGCAAGCGUUGUCCGGAUUUAUUGGGCGUAAAGCGCGUGUAGGCGGCCACGCAGGUCCGCUGUGAAAACUCGAGGCUCAACCUCGAGAUGUCGGUGGAAACCGCGUGGCUAGAGUCCGGAAGAGGAGAGUGGAAUUCCCGGUGUAGCGGUGAAAUGCGCAGAUAUCGGGAAGAACACCCAUGGCGAAGGCAGCUCUCUGGGACGGUACUGACGCUGAGACGCGAAAGCGUGGGGAGCGAACAGG
RNAcentral lists this ribosomal RNA (428 nucleotides) under Bacillota bacterium. Its description in RNAcentral is "Firmicutes bacterium partial 16S ribosomal RNA". It matches the Rfam family "Bacterial small subunit ribosomal RNA", at positions 355 to 776 of the family's 1533-position model. Lineage: Bacteria; Bacillati; Bacillota. The record is from RNAcentral.